UGCAAGUCGAGCGGUAACAGGGGAGCUUGCUCCUGCUGACGAGCGGCGGACGGGUGAGUAACGCGUAGGAAUCUGCCUAGUAGAGGGGGACAACAUGUGGAAACGCAUGCUAAUACCGCAUACGCCCUGAGGGGGAAAGGAGGGGACUCUUCGGAGCCUUCCGCUAUUAGAUGAGCCUGCGUGAGAUUAGCUAGUUGGUAGGGUAAAGGCCUACCAAGGCGACGAUCUCUAACUGGUCUGAGAGGAUGACCAGUCACACUGGGACUGAGACACGGCCCAGACUCCUACGGGAGGCAGCAGUGGGGAAUAUUGGACAAUGGGCGGAAGCCUGAUCCAGCCAUGCCGCGUGUGUGAAGAAGGCCUUAGGGUUGUAAAGCACUUUCAGGGGUGAGGAAGGGUGACUGGCUAAUAUCCAGUUAUCUUGACGUUAGCCCCAGAAGAAGCACCGGCUAACUCUGUGCCAGCAGCCGCGGUAAUACAGAGGGUGCAAGCGUUAAUCGGAAUUACUGGGCGUAAAGCGCGCGUAGGUGGUUUGUUAAGUCGGAUGUGAAAUCCCAGGGCUCAACCUUGGAAUGGCACCCGAUACUGGCAGGCUA
RNAcentral lists this ribosomal RNA (596 nucleotides) under uncultured bacterium. RNAcentral's name for it is "bacterial SSU rRNA". It matches the Rfam family "Bacterial small subunit ribosomal RNA", at positions 56 to 643 of the family's 1533-position model. The record is from RNAcentral.